AUUGAACGCUGGCGGCAGGCCUAACACAUGCAAGUCGAGCGGAUGAAGGGAGCUUGCUCCUGGAUUCAGCGGCGGACGGGUGAGUAAUGCCUAGGAAUCUGCCUGGUAGUUGGGGAUAACGUCCGGAAACGGGCGCUAAUACCGCAUACGUCCUGAGGUAGAAAGUGGGGGAUCUUCGGACCUCACGCUAUCAGAUGAGCCUAGGUCGGAUUAGCUAGUUGGUGGGGUAAAGGCCUACCAAGGCGACGAUCCGUAACUGGUCUGAGAGGAUGAUCAGUCACACUGGAACUGAGACACGGUCCAGACUCCUACGGGAGGCAGCAGUGGGGAAUCUUGGACAAUGGGCGAAAGCCUGAUCCAGCCACGCCGCGUGUGUGAAGAAGGUCUUCGGAUUGUAAAGCACUUUAAGUUGGGAGGAAGGGAAGUAAGUUAAUACAUUGCUGUCUUGACGUUACCAACAGAAUAAGCCCCGGCUAACUUCGUG
RNAcentral lists this ribosomal RNA (484 nucleotides) under uncultured bacterium. Its description in RNAcentral is "partial 16S ribosomal RNA". It matches the Rfam family "Bacterial small subunit ribosomal RNA", at positions 30 to 507 of the family's 1533-position model. The record is from RNAcentral.